Molecule: ribosomal RNA, 468 nt
Filed under: uncultured bacterium
Lineage: Bacteria
Description: partial 16S ribosomal RNA
Rfam family: Bacterial small subunit ribosomal RNA
Source: RNAcentral
GACGAACGCUGGCGGCGUGCUUAACACAUGCAAGUCGAACGGUGAAGCUCCAGCUUGCUGGAGUGGAUCAGUGGCGAACGGGUGAGUAACACGUGAGCAACCUGCCCCAGACUCUGGAAUAAGCGCUGGAAACGGCGUCUAAUACUGGAUACGAGAUCAAGCCGCAUGUUUAUGGUCUGGAAAGUUUUUCGGUUUGGGAUGGGCUCGCGGCCUAUCAGCUUGUUGGUGAGGUAAUGGCUCACCAAGGCGACGACGGGUAGCCGGCCUGAGAGGGCGACCGGCCACACUGGGACUGAGACACGGCCCAGACUCCUACGGGAGGCAGCAGUGGGGAAUAUUGCACAAUGGGCGAAAGCCUGAUGCAGCGACGCCGCGUGAGGGAUGACGGCCUUCGGGUUGUAAACCUCUUUCAGCAGGGAAGAAGCGAAAGUGACGGUACCUGCAGAAGAAGCACCGGCUAACUACGUG